Molecule: RNA transcript, 2375 nt
Organism: Oncorhynchus tshawytscha (Chinook salmon)
Lineage: Eukaryota; Metazoa; Chordata; Actinopteri; Salmoniformes; Salmonidae
Gene name: SLAM family member 5
Exons: 7
Source: RefSeq, a predicted model, not a curated record
CUUAAACUAACAAACUCAAUGUCUGGGCGCUCUUGUCGAGUAUCUCAGACUAUGCCAUGUUAUUUGUAGAUGAUUUAGUGGAACCAGUUGGACGAUUGUAUGGACUGUAGGCUACAAUGCUGUUUUCUCAAAGAAAAAAACUGAAGGUGACGCUGCUGCAUCUCUUCGGGGGUGUUACAGUACCACUACUUCCUGUGGCUAUGUUCACAAGCGUCGAUGGCUACACCUAACAACAGUUGUGUGGAAAUUGAGUAACUCAAGUACUCUGCUCAGCGCAGCAUUCAGCCCAACCUGAGACUCGGCAGGUGAAAGGCAUCGUGGGAACGGUUUUCUAUUUUCCAGAAAGGGUGUUGAACUCUGGCAAUUUACUUAAUCAACAUUUUGGCAGUAUUGCACAGGUGUACCCUGUUAAACAAAGUAAUACCAACCUUGAGAAGAGAUUUCAAAACCGCCUUCACUGGAACAAUGUUACUGGAGUCUUCACUUUGUCAGACCUACAAAUAGAUGAUUCUGGGGUUUAUACUGUGGAGAAUACAGAUGAAGGGAAGACGACACGUAUAUUUCAGCUUACUGUGUACUAUGUUCUGUCCAAACCUCAGGUGACGGUCCAUGAUAAAAUCUCCUGUAGCGUGGUGUGUUCUGUGGAGAACGGGAGAGAGGUGACCCUGUCCUGGUACAAAGGAGGGGAGAUACUCAACCAGACCAGCAGCCCUGACCACAACAUCACCCUCUCUCUACCUCUCAAGGUGGAUGAACAGAACAGAGACUCUUACAGAUGUGAGGCUGCCAACCCAGCCAGCAAUGAGACAGCUGUUGUUCCACAUUCCUGUAUAGAGAGUGAUCCCUCUAAGGUGAAAGAUGGUGAUGAGAGGACUCGAGAUUGUCUUAUUAUUGCUGUAAUCUGUGUUUUGGUGGCUUCAGUAGUUGUUGGUUUUGCAAUAUAUCUGAAGAAGAGGAGAAACGGACACUCACAUACAGAUUCACCUGAAAGAGAGCAAGAUGAUGUUCAGUAUGCAGAGAUAACUCACAUUAAACCAGCAGAAAACCAGGAGGAGCGAACAGGUAUACCAGAACUGGAGUCACUUAAAGACAACCCUAACCUGACAGUUUAUUAUACACUCCAGUUACAUCACAUGCCUGCCAGCAAGGAUGUUGACACUGCAUGAAGGUUGAGAGAGAACAGGAAGUUAAUGAGAGGGUGACAAGAUAAUUCACAUCCAAGAGAAGGCGUUAUAUCCUAAAGAGGACGUUAAGACAAAAUUAUAGUCAAUAUUCAUUUUAGAAAACUUCAUGGAGACACAGUUGUUCCUGGAGACAAUUACCAUUUAACCAAUGCGCUGUUGUCAUUUCAGUCAUUUCAGACUUCCUUUGUUGGUCAUUCUCACUGUCAUUUGUUGAAUUGAGCCUUGAUGAGAUUAACCGAUGCAGACAAAUUAAAUAACUAUGCCUAGGGUUAUUAGUAGGAUGAUCCCUCUUUUCAAGUGCCCAUUGUCCCAAUGUAUAGGUUAAAACAAAUGGAACCUCUGUUAAUACAAUUCACUAGUGUGUUUGCUACGCUACUGCUGUGCCAAAGCUUCUUUUCAGUUCUGUCUGUUCUGUUGUUUAAAUGUAGGUGCCUCCCCUGUAUCGUUUUAUAGCUGGUCAUUGUUUAUCUUGCCAGUGGAUAGCAGCUGUGUACAUAAAAAGCAGAUGUUUGGUGAGAUAAAGCCGCCUGCUGCUCAGCAUAAUGGCUAUUAGGCUACGUUGGAAACCACCAUAUAGAUUCUGUUGAAACACUUCUGAGUGGUAGAUCUUGAUUUGCCUUUUGACUCAGAAAGUGUUCUUGGUUGACAUUUUACUCUCACAAAAUGCAAUCGUGAUUAAGUGUAGUUCAGAUCUUGCUUUGACAACAACUGUGUUCACGCAGUUUGAAUGUACCAGAGUCAAAGUUUAGUUUAUUAUGAUGGACCACUUAUUGCUUGUCCUUAUCUACACAGUAUUUAGCUCAACAGGAUAUCCUGUUGGGGCUAGGGGGCACAAGGAGUUCCCUAAAGGGAACACUCCCUCCCAUUCAGCUGAAAAAAAUAUUCUUUAGAAAUAUUUAACUUUCACACAUUAACAAGUCCAAUACAGCAAAUGAAAGAUAAACAUCUUGUUAAUCUACCCAUCGUGUCCGAUUUUUCAAAUGUUUUACAGUGAAAACACAACAUUUAUUUAUGUUAGAUGACCACCAAAUUGAAAAACACACAGAGCGAUAUUUCACAGUCACAAAAGCAUGAAUAUAGAUAAAAUGAAUCACUAACCUUUGAUAAUCUCCAUCAUGACACUCAUAGGACAUCAUGUUAAACAUGUAUUGUGUGUUUUGUUCGAUAAUGUGCAUAUAUAUACACUGCUCA